AAGUGGUGGUAACAGUUCAAAGUCAGCUGUUUCAAGUGGUUGUAGAGCUGGUACCGCCCAAAAGUGUGGUAUCUGACAUCAUGCCAUUGUACUCUAGAGUAUUGAUCCUGGGUAUCCGUGGCUAGGAAUGUGUUAGGAGUAGAUUUUAUUCAUUCUGUUCGGAAAUUAGUUGUGAUGUAGGAACUGUCCAAUAUUGUGUAGUUUUUUCCUAUAUAUCUAUAUGUUGAGAUGGGUUUGGGGUGUGUGCAUGUGUGGAGGUGAAGGAGCUGGUGAUCUGCAAGCUUAAAACAUUAAUUAUCUAAGUUCCUUUGACGAUUUAUCCUAUCAUAUCUUGUCGUAGCUUACAUCAUUUGCUUGCACCCUGGCAAAGCAUCGGAAUUCUUCAACUCUGGAAGCCAAAGAUGUACAGCUUCAUCUAGAGAAAAACUGGAAAUUGACCAUUCCAGGGUACUCUAGCGAAGAUGGCAAACAGGCCCCAGAGCAUUCAGCAAGUGAAGUCCACAAAAAGCGUUUGGAUGUGAUACGUACGUCAAUGGAGCCUGUUCCGUCUCAGACAAAUGCAAAUAAUGCUAAGCUGAUGGGCAGACAGGCGCCUGGCAACCCAGCUGGUCCAAGCCACAUGAUAAGACCUUCUCCAAGUUCGGAGCAGUUAGCUUCACAGUCUAAUGUGCCCCAAAUGCUGCAGCCCACAAACAGGUUUUGAUGGCCGUCAUUCAGUCUCAUGCCAAGUUAAAUGGAGAAUAUUGUAGCUGUUCACUGGUUUGAAGGCCUGCUAUUAUUCAGUUGGCCCAGAUAAUCACUUCAAGAAAGGUUUUAUGGAAAUACUGUAACAUGCACAUCCUUCUCGGAUGAAUAAGUUGGGAGUUUUUCUAGAUGUUUUUUUACAUUGAAAUCUAAAUCUACCAGAAUUAAGUAUUUUGAACCUCUCGUGAAUGGUUUUGAUUUUCAAUGGGAUUUUUGGAUCCCACCCUCGUAUGUUUUAUUUUCUGAUAAUUAUUCAGCGAGUUUCUAUGCAUUUGAGAUAUCAACACUGCAGUGUGCAGGGAAGUUCAUUAUAUAGAGUUUUUGAAGCCAAUUUUUGAAACAUGGCUUUGACAAUGAGGCCUGUGUGUGCUAGCUUAGAGGCAUAAAUAGGAUUGGUUCAUGUGGACCUUGGGUCUUUUCAGCUGAGUCCAGCCCAUGCCUUGGCCCUGAUCUCCAUACUCUUCUAGUAUUUUUUAUAUGCUGUAUGCAACUUAAUUGCCAACAGUGCACAGGAAAAUUUGUUAUCAGUUUAUGAAUCCAGUUUUUGAAACGUUGCAGUACUGUUGUCCCUGCAUUCUUUUUGAACUUCUACUGGUACGUCCGGCCUGAAUCAGAUAUUAUGAGUUUUGUGUACUGUUGGGCUGGUAUCUUGGCCAUGGUACUAUUAUGGAUAUAAAAAUAAUAGUCAAAAUUGGAUUCCAUUAAUUGUUACCCAUAUCGAAAAUAAGAUUGACUAAUGAUUUCUAAAGAACUGGGGUUACAUCUCUUUUCCAAUUUCAUUGAAGAGUUCUUAUGUCUCAUAUCAUUUGAGACCCCAACAAAUCAAGAACUUCAAUGGCUGGAGAGGGUGAGAUUAUUUCUUUCCGAGAAAAAUGUUUCCCCGGGUAUUAAGUCGCAAUUGCAUCGUGCACAAUCUCUGGAAUAGAUGUUAUUGAGUGGUAUAAAGUUGAGGACUUUAAUUUUGUCACACUUGGCAAAACCACUCCAAUCAAUACUUCCGGUUUGGAGGUUCUGCAACAUCUCACAUUCUGAUGUAGCCGAUAUGCAACAGAAAUCCUAGACUCUGGGAGAACAAUCCUUCCUGCGUAUGAUGUUAGUUGUUGGAAAUUAUGGUUAAGGUGCUUGAAGCAUGUACGCGAGCUAUAAAGGUUUGUUUUAUUUAUUGAUCUAUAUUUAGAACUAUUACACAGAGGCUUUUCUUCUUGUUUUGUCAGUACAGGAUGUAUGAAUUAAUGUUGUUAAAAUCCUUCAGUUACCACAGGACAGAUUUUCUUUCUUUUAAUUGGGGUUUCAGGGGUGAUGGGUGGAGGGGGAAUAAGCUGGUCCAGAUUUAUGUGUGACUGCCUUGAAUACAGGUGAAUGCUUAUGACAACAUUCGCGUGGCUGAUUUUUUAUAUUGGUCCAAGUACUUGUUGACUCCUGUAGCUGCUAUUCUUCAUGAUCAUGCUCGGACUCUUAGAGAUCAAGAAAGGAAAAUGGACGAGGAGCUCAUGUCUAUCGAUUGUAUUAACCAUACAGAUGAUAUUGCAUGUAGAAACGAGAUUAACAUGAUUGCCAAUAAAGAGCAUAGAAUCAUAAUUUUAUAUCUACAUUAAGAUGUUGCUGAUCUUUCUACUGAAAUACUAAGCUAGGAUAAGAUUAUAAGUUAUGAGCAUUCUGAAGUUACGCCUCCCAAAAUGGAUGCAGGAGUUGAAAUGUGCAGACUCCAUUUGUUGAUUCUCAGAUAUGUAGGCCAAUACCACCCUUGAUGAAUGGAGGUGAUACUGUAAAUGAACUUGUUUACAAGGGUCUUGCAUGCUGUGUUCUCGGUAUCGUGAUGCAUAUCCAGGGAUAUUGGAGGUAUUUAUUUUAAAACAAGCUUUUGGUAUGUACUUAUGUUUUGGGCUGCUGAACAUUUAAUUUAGUGUGUGGGUUUAUUUGUUUAGAAAUGUUAUGUGGUUUCAACUUGCUGCCAUAAAACUGAGCUUGAACUGCCUCGAUUUUAGUGAACCAUUUCUAGUUUAUGGUUACACACUACUGGUGGCUUGCAAAUUCUUUUAGAUGCUUUCUCCUUUGGUGUUUCUCUCUUUUUUGUGUUUAUUUUAUUUUUAGCUUCUAUCUUCAAUAUUUUUCUGGGAAUAAUGCUUCCUUUGUUGUUGUAAAUGAUAUUGACAGAUAAACUCUGGCUGCGGUAAAGCUUUAAAGUAAGUUUACUUGCUUCAUCUUUCUGAAAUGGUAUUGUUCGAAAUGCUGAAAUCAGGUUUUGGAAAGCUCUUUGUUCUUCUGCUUAAGCUCUAUAUAUUUGAAAAUGCUCAACACUGUUAUAGAGUUUUGAAAGGUUCCUUGAGUUCUGAAGUGAUAAAAAAUAUAAGUUGCAAUAUCUAAUAAUGUAAUCAGUAAUAACGUAAUGCUUAACAAACCUGCAGAUAGUGUAAUGAGAGGAAUAAUAAUAAAACU
Molecule: long non-coding RNA, 3180 nt
Organism: Olea europaea var. sylvestris
Lineage: Eukaryota; Viridiplantae; Streptophyta; Magnoliopsida; Lamiales; Oleaceae
Exons: 6
Source: RefSeq, a predicted model, not a curated record